This 22-nucleotide microRNA is filed under the name Homo sapiens (human). Its description in RNAcentral is "hsa-miR-6508-3p". Lineage: Eukaryota; Metazoa; Chordata; Mammalia; Primates; Hominidae. The record is from miRBase by way of RNAcentral.
UGGGCCAUGCAUUUCUAGAACU